RNAcentral lists this transfer RNA (73 nucleotides) under archaeon. RNAcentral describes it as "tRNA-Trp". It matches the Rfam family "tRNA". Rfam says of the family: Transfer RNA (tRNA) molecules are approximately 80 nucleotides in length. Their secondary structure includes four short double-helical elements and three loops (D, anti-codon, and T loops). The record is from RNAcentral.
GGGGCUGUAGUAUAACUUGGCAGAAUAGGGGCCUCCAGAGCCUUAGAUCAGGGUUCAAAUCCCUGCAGCCCCA